This 263-nucleotide unclassified non-coding RNA is filed under the name Hevea brasiliensis (rubber tree). The record is from RNAcentral. Lineage: Eukaryota; Viridiplantae; Streptophyta; Magnoliopsida; Malpighiales; Euphorbiaceae.
AUGUUUCUGAAAUGAUACGAAGUGCUAUUGCUGACUUUAGAGACCAGAAUUCCUAUGAGAAGCCGAAUUGAUUCAGUUUUCUUUCCUUUUCUUUAUAUCAUGGAGGAGUUAUUGAGACAUGCAUAUAUCUCAUAAGCACUUACUUUAACUUGUAUUUUUAGCAAUUUCGUUAUUCUCAUAUGUCAGAUGCAAAGAACAGCUCUUUUUUCUGAAGUCAAAGCGUCCUCUUGUAAGAACUUUUGUUGCUUUUCUCAAUACGUGUU